RNAcentral lists this ribosomal RNA (301 nucleotides) under uncultured bacterium. RNAcentral's name for it is "bacterial SSU rRNA". It matches the Rfam family "Bacterial small subunit ribosomal RNA", at positions 494 to 795 of the family's 1533-position model. The record is from RNAcentral.
CGUCCAGCUAGUUGUCGGCGUCGGCAGUAGUAGGGAGGGUGCAAGCGGUAGCCGGAAUUACUGGGCGAAAAGCGGUGGCAGGCGGGUGCGGAAGUCGGUCGUGAAAUCCCCGGGCUUAACCUGGGAAUGGCGAUGGAGACUGCGAGGCUAGAGUUUGGCAGAGGGGGGUAGAAUUCCACGUGUAGCAGUGAAAUGCGUAGAGAUGUGGAGGAACACCGAUGGCGAAGGCAGCCCCCUGGGUCAAAACUGACGCUCAUGCACGAAAGCGUGGGGAGCAAACAGGAUUAGAUACCCUAGAGUC